RNAcentral lists this ribosomal RNA (246 nucleotides) under uncultured bacterium. RNAcentral describes it as "partial 16S ribosomal RNA". It matches the Rfam family "Bacterial small subunit ribosomal RNA", at positions 110 to 353 of the family's 1533-position model. The record is from RNAcentral.
GUAACGCGUGGGUAACCUGCCUCACACUGGGGGACGAACAGCUGGAAACGGCUGCUAAUACCGCAUAAGCGCACAGCUUCGCAUGGAGCAGUGUGAAAAACUCCGGUGGUGUGAGAUGGACCCGCGUCUGAUUAGCUAGUUGGUAAGGUAACGGCUUACCAAGGCGACGAUCAGUAGCCGACCUGAGAGGGUGACCGGCCACAUUGGGACUGAGACACGGCCCAAACUCCUACGGGAGGCAGCAUG